Molecule: ribosomal RNA, 1058 nt
Filed under: Paracyclops fimbriatus
Lineage: Eukaryota; Metazoa; Arthropoda; Copepoda; Cyclopoida; Cyclopidae
Description: SSU rRNA
Rfam family: Eukaryotic small subunit ribosomal RNA
Source: RNAcentral
GAGAAACUGCGAAAGGCUCAUUAAAUCACACCUAAUGCACUGGAUAGUGACAGUUACUUGGAUAACUGCGGUAAUUCUGGAGCUAAUACAUGCAUACCAGCCCCGACUCACGGAGGGGUGCUUUUAUUAGACUAAAACCAAACGGUCUCGGCCGUCCAAUUGGUGAAUCUGAAUAACUUUGAGCGGAUCGCAUGGCUUCACGCCGGCGACGUAUCCUUCCAAGGUGUGACCUAUCAACUGUCGACUGUGGCAUAGACGCCCACAGUGGUUUUGACGGGUAACGGGGAAUUAGGGUUCGAUUCCGGAGAGGGAGCCUGAGAAACGGCUACCACUUCUAAGGAAGGCAGCAGGCACGCAAAUUACCCACUGGUCAAAGACCGAGGUAGUGACGAAAAAUAACGAUACCAGACUCAUCCGAGGCCUGGUAAUCGGAAUGAGCACACUUUAAAUCCUUUAACGAGGAACCAUUGGAGGGCAAGUCUGGUGCCAGCAGCCGCGGUAAUUCCAGCUCCAAUAGUUUAUAUUAAAGUUGUUGCGGUUAAAAAGCUCGUAGUUGGAACCUGGCGGGCAGGGGGCGGUCCAUUAUUUGAUGCGACUGCCCCAUUUGCCCGUUUUUCUCGGUGGAAUUCCUAGGGUGCUCUUCACCGAGUGUCCUUGGAGGCCACCAGGUUUACUUUGAAAAAAUUAGAGUGCUCCAAGCAGGCUCGACACGCCUGAAUAUUUGUGCAUGGAAUAAUGGAAUAGGACGUCGUUCCUAUUUUGUUGGUUUUAGGGAUUCGACGUAAUGAUUAAUAGGGACAGCCGGGGGCAUUAGUAUUCAGACGACAGAGGUGAAAUUCUUGGACCGUCUGAAGACUAACUACUGCGAAAGCAUUUGCCAAGAGUGUUUUCAUUAAUCAAGAACGAAAGUUAGAGGUUCGAAGGCGAUCAAAUACCGCCCUAGUUCUAACCAUAAACGAUGCCAGCUAGCGAUCCGCUGAAUUUUUUUAUGUAGGCUCUGCGGGAAGCUUCCGGGAAACCAAAGCUUUUGGGUUCCGGGGGAAAUAUGGUUGCAAAGC